GGACGCCCACUUCUGGUGAAAUGAAACCAAAACAUUAGCAUUUAGCAGCCCAUUUAGCUUGUAGCUUGUGUGCCUGUAUGUGAAGAAGAAAUGGCCUUUAUUCCUGUGUCUCAGGAUGAGUUCAACUGUUGUGUUUGUCUGGACUUGCUGAGGGACCCGGUGACUGUUUCCUGUGGACACAGUUUCUGUUUGAACUGCAUUACAGGCUGCUGGAAUCAAGAAGACCAGAAGGGUGUUUACAGCUGCCCCCAGUGCAGGGAGACCUUCACUCCAAGGCCUGUUCUACGCAGAAACACAAUGCUGACUGAAGUUAUAGAGAAACUGAAGAAGACCGAACUGCAGUCUGAUGGUAAGGCUCCUUUCUACGCCGGACCAGACGAUGUGGAGUGUGACUUUUGCACUGGGAGAAAACAUAAAGCCACCAAGUCGUGUCUAACAUGCAUGGGAUCUUACUGUGAGGUUCACAUCCAGCCUCACUAUGAAGUUACCUGUCUGAAGAAGCACAAGCUGGUUAACGCCAUCUCACAGCUACAGGGGAAGAUUUGCUCUCAACAUGACAGGAUCAUUGAGGUGUUUUGCCGUACAGAUAAGAAGUUAAUCUGUAUGCUGUGUUUAUUGAACGAUCACAAUGGACAUAAAACUGUCUCAGCUGCAGCAGAAUGGGCUGAAAAUCAGACAAAGUUGCAUGGGACAAAGAUGAAUAACAAGACACACAUCCAGCAGAGAGAGAAGGAGCUGCAAGAGGUCAAACAGGCCCUGCAAACUCUAAAGGCCUUUGCACAAGAAGCUGUUGAGGACUCAGAGAGGAUGUUCACUGAGCUGAUCAGCUUCAUGGAGCAAAAGCGCUCUGAGGUGACCGAGUCGAUCAGAGCUCAGGAGAGGGCAGAGGUGAGUCGAGCUGAAGGACUGCUUGAGCAACUGGAGUUGGAGAUCACUAAACUGAAGAGCAGUAAUGCUGAGAUUGAGGAACUUCUACAGAAGGAGGAUCCUAUUGAUUUUCUGCAGAGCUUUUCCCUCACUUCACCUCAGUUCGAACUCCUCUCCAGUGUGACUUCAACGCCACAUUUGUCCUUUACUGAAAUUAAGGGACCAGCCCUCAUGGAAAUAAAACAAAUGAUGUCGAAGUUCAAUCCAGGUUUCAGGAUUGGGGAUCGAGUCCAAGUGAGAGCUUCUGUUCAACAGCCAAAGAAUGGGGGAUGGGGAGGCGUCACUCACAAAAGUUUGGGUGUGAUAACAUCGUUCAGCUCACAUGGAUACAUACUGGUUGAUUUUCCUGAGUGGAAACAGUGGAAGGCAGAUCCCUUUGAAAUCAAGCUGGUCCUCAGGAUUGGGGACAGAGUCCGAGUGAAGGCUUCUGUUCAAAAGCCAACGCAUGGGGGAUGGGGAGGCGUCACUCACAAAAGUGUGGGAGUGAUAACAUCGUUCAGCUCACAUGGAUACAUACUGGUUGAUUUUCCUGAGUGGAAACAGUGGAUGGCAGAGCACUAUGAGAUCGAGCUGGUCCUCUAAUGCAUCACAUGCUAAAUUCUAAAGCAAACUGUUACAUGCAUUCAAAAGCAUCAAAUAUUUUGAUGUAUUGAAACUUCCAUGAUCUCUGAUGUGCAAUAAAUAGGUCCAACAGUAUGAGAAACAUCCCAACAUGAAUUGUGCACCACCAUGCUUUUACCGUCUUCACAGUGUAGGCUACUGUGGCUUAAAUUCAAUGGGGGCCGCAGACAGUUUGUCCAACGAUUGUCCAAACAUUGCUUCCCAGAUAAUGUGUAAUUUCAGGUUGUAAAACUGAAGUAAUUUCAAGGACUGAAAAUAAUAUGAAGACAGGAUAUGAACAUAAUUAGUUAUGUUUUGGGAGCUAUUCAUGAUAUAGAAAAGAUUAGAACAAAAUCAGAGACUGCAGCAACAAUCUUAUCUGAUUUGACA
RNA transcript from Alosa sapidissima (American shad), 1917 nucleotides. It is a transcript of the gene named E3 ubiquitin/ISG15 ligase TRIM25-like, with no coding region annotated. Lineage: Eukaryota; Metazoa; Chordata; Actinopteri; Clupeiformes; Clupeidae. The transcript is spliced from 8 exons. The record is from RefSeq and is a predicted model, not a curated record.